CAAUAGUAGAGCGACUCGGUGAGAUCGAUCUGUCUACAAUCCCCAGCGAGAAGGGGGCCCCUAAAGGGACGGCCUCUCUACAGACAGACAACUUUGCAGUGCUGCUGGUGCAGGGCCUGGAGAGCAACGACGCCAGCAUCCUAAAUAAAGUUUUUCAGACUCGUAAAGAGAUGGUGAUCAAGAAAACGGUUGCUCGGUUACCCCUCCCUGCUGUUUUACCCUUGGUGGAGGAGCUCACAAAGAGGCUCCAAGGGCACCCUUUCACGGCCGUUCUAAUGGUGCGGUGGCUCAAGGCUGUGCUCAUGCACCACACAUCAUACCUGGCAUCGGUGAGUCCGCUUUCCUGG
This is a long non-coding RNA of Notothenia coriiceps (black rockcod), 347 nucleotides long. RefSeq lists it as uncharacterized. Lineage: Eukaryota; Metazoa; Chordata; Actinopteri; Perciformes; Nototheniidae. The record is from RefSeq and is a predicted model, not a curated record. The transcript is spliced from 4 exons.